This 371-nucleotide ribosomal RNA is filed under the name uncultured bacterium. RNAcentral's name for it is "partial 16S ribosomal RNA". The record is from RNAcentral.
CACGGAGUUAGCCGGGGCUUCUUCCUCGAGUCCUGUCAUGAUCGCGCACUCGACGAAAGAGCUUUACAAGCGGCAUUGCCCUUCUUCACUCACGCGAUAUUGCUGGAUCGGGCUUUCGCCCAUUGUCCAAGAUUCCCCACUGCUCGCCCCCCGUGGGAGUCCGGGCCGUGUCUCGGUCCCAGUGUGGCUGAUCAUACCGAAAAGACCAGCUAAGCAUCAUUGGCUUGGUCAGUCCUUUACCUGACCAACUACCUAAUACUACGCAGGCUCAUACAAACAGCGUCUUUUGAGUCUUUCUCAGGUAUUUCGGCCCGUAAUGUUCGGCAGACUUCCCACGUCGUUACGCCUACCCGUUCGCCUACUUUCGUUCU